ACGGCUCAGUAACACGUGGAUAACCUGCCCUUGGGUCCGGCAUAACCCCGGGAAACUGGGGAUAAUUCCGGAUAACGCACAUAUGCUGGAAUGCUUUAUGCGUAAAAUGGAUUCGUCUGCCCAAGGAUGGGUCUGCGGCCUAUCAGGUAGUAGUGGGUGUAAUGUACCUACUAGCCUACAACGGGUACGGGUUGUGAGAGCAAGAGCCCGGAGAUGGAUUCUGAGACAUGAAUCCAGGCCCUACGGGGCGCAGCAGGCGCGAAAACUUUACAAUGCGGGAAACCGUGAUAAGGGGACACCGAGUGCCAGCAUCAUAUGCUGGCUGUCCAGGUGUGUAAAAUACACCUGUUAGCAAGGGCCGGGCAAGACCGGUGCCAGCCGCCGCGGUAACACCGGCGGCCCGAGUGGUGAUCGUGAUUAUUGGGUCUAAAGGGUCCGUAGCCGGUUUGGUCAGUCCUCCGGGAAAUCUGACGGCUUAACCGUUAGGCUUUCGGGGGAUACUGCCAGGCUUGGAACCGGGAGAGGUAAGAGGUACUACAGGGGUAGGAGUGAAAUCUUGUAAUCCCUGUGGGACCACCUGUGGCGAAGGCGUCUUACCAGAACGGGUUCGACGGUGAGGGACGAAAGCUGGGGGCACGAACCGGAUUAGAUACCCGGGUAGUCCCAGCCGUAAACGAUGCUCGCUAGGUGUCAGGCAUGGCGCGACCGUGUCUGGUGCCGCAGGGAAGCCGUGAAGCGAGCCACCUGGGAAGUACGGCCGCAAGGCUGAAACUUAAAGGAAUUGGGCGGGGGAAGCAAC
RNAcentral lists this ribosomal RNA (799 nucleotides) under uncultured archaeon. RNAcentral describes it as "bacterial SSU rRNA". It matches the Rfam family "Archaeal small subunit ribosomal RNA", at positions 85 to 882 of the family's 1478-position model. The record is from RNAcentral.